GCUUGGCCGAGUGGUUUAAGGCGAUAGAUUUAAGCUCUAUUAUCGAAAGAUGCGUGAGUUCGAACGUCAGUCAAGACA
Molecule: transfer RNA, 78 nt
Filed under: Alectoria sarmentosa
Lineage: Eukaryota; Fungi; Ascomycota; Lecanoromycetes; Lecanorales; Parmeliaceae
Description: tRNA-Leu
Source: RNAcentral